AUUUCUAAAUCUUUCACAAAUAAGGCAUCAUCUCUUUACAGUAUGUACAACUCGAAUCAUUGUAUAACUUGAUCACUAGGGCUAAAAAUGUAUUACUGGGCUGUGGUGUUCUCUUAACGUAUAACUGCAUACUUUACAUUGUCUUUGUCAUAAUGAUCACUAUUUGUAUUUACACCUGUUAUUAUUCAAAUGAGCAAAGACAUAAUGCAAGUGAAGGAGGGGCCACCCCGUUGACGUUGUAACUAAUAACCACUCCUUAUAACGUCAAUUUGCAGUUUUGAUAAAUCACCUUCCAAAGACACAGUUUGUUACCUUUACGAAAAAUCACUGAGUGUGUUACUGUGCACAGAUUUUCACUUGAGACUGGAUGGUUAUGACUUUGAAGAAUAAACUAAGGUUUGCCUUUUCUAAAAAUCAUGGCACCAGAAAAACUACACUCCUCACCAUAUUAUGUAUAUGGUGGGUGCUUACCUGGACUGGUGCCCAAGCGACAACAGAACACCAGAAUCCUGAGACAUCUAAAAUGGAGAAAAUGAGGAUGAAUGAUGAUUUCAGGCAAAACACAAAUGCAACGCAUGAAUCCAAUAAAGAAACUUCCCAACAAUCUGCAGCUAUACACAUUGAAAAUGCCACAGGAGCUAGAGCUACCUCUCAUACUAAAAGUGAUACAAAACCAAUUAGAGCAUUAUCCACUACUGGUACAGCAGUACCUCCCAGGAGAGUCUCGAUCAAAAAUUCAACAGAAAAAACAAGCUAUACUACAACACUGGCUCCUAGACCUAUUGGAAAUUUACCAGUGAUGACUACUCACUCAACACCUGAUUCAAAUACAGCUAACGUAAAGCUGGUGUUCGACUGCUCAUUUCCUGUUCCCAGUGAGAGUAUGGUCUUGAAUGCUAUCCAAACUCUGCUGAUCUCUCGAUCUGCAAACAUCUCAGAUACAGUGAAAGUACUGGGCUUCUACUAUAAUAAAACCUCAGCCAACUCCUAUGAAGUUAAUUUCAUAAUCAACAUUAGUAUCAUCAUGCCAGAGAAGCAUGCCCUCAGGAAAAACACCUACAAGCAAAUCCAAACAUCCAUCAGCAACACACUAAACAUUUUAUUAAAUGAACCUGGUGCAGAACCAUUUGAACCCCAUACCUCCUACAUCAUGGAUGUGGACAUUGAAAUAGAGUACAAUUUUGGAUGUGGGGAUUGCAAACGACCAAUCAGCUUCCUAAAUGAAAUCAGUGCUUUAGCAACAACUCCAAGAACGACAACAGUUCCUCCAACAACUUCAAGACAUGAGAACAUAACUGGAACUGUAUACAUUUAUAUUAAGGUUAUAUUUGAGAACUUGACACAUGUACCUACCGAGGCUGAUGUUAUCAGUGCUGCUAAUGAUCUCCUGGAAUCAAACAAAUCAGUGAGAGAUCUUGGAAUAGAAGAACUGACUGACCCUGUCAGCAUAAAGAACAUCGCCUAUCAGAAAACGGGAAGCAACUCAUAUAGCAUAGACUUUGCAUUCAAAAUCAGCAAUGUGAGCAUGUCUGUGAUGACGGACCAGAGGAGCGCAACAUAUGAGUUAAUACAGUACAAAAUCAACAGCCUGAUGAACACAAUCUUGAAUGCCCCAACUGAGGCAUCAGUUAACUUCUCACAAGCAAAUUACACGGGUAAUGCUACAUUAAUAGAGGCAACUGAAAUAUACAUCUAUAGGGAGUGUGAUAUCAAGUCGACAAGUGAGUUUCUUCUUCAACUCCUAACACUUCAUACACCUCCUGCCAUUGGAUCAGCUGAGGUUCAAACCACCAUGGUGUUCAGCUCGUCCUCUCCUGUUCCCAGUGAGAGUUUGGUCCUCGGUGCUAUCACAGUUCUGCUUAACUCUCGACUCACAAACCUCACUGACUCUGUAACAGUGCUGAACUUCACCUAUGAGAAAAUAUCAGACACAUCCUAUGCAAUCAUUUUCAUAUUCAAGAUCAGUAACAUCAGCAUUCCAGAGAACCCUAACCUCAGGAACGAAACCCACAGCCAUGUAAAGAGCAUCAUCAAUGACGCUCUAAACAUGCUACUAAAUAGGCCUUGUGCAGUGCGAUUUGAAACCAACAAUUUCAACUUCACAAGAUCAGAAGAUAAGAUUGAUGGAUACAUGAACUACACUUUCCAACAAUCAGAAACCAAAAAACCAGCCAGCUUCUUCGAUGAACUCAAGAUUAUACCUGGUUUGGUUGUGGUCAAUACCACCCUGGUGUUCAACUCGUCCUCUCCUAUUACCUGUGAGAGUUUUUACCACAGUGCUCUCGAAGCUCUGCUGAACUCUAGACACACAAACCUUACUGAGUCUGUAAGAGUGCUGACCUGUGAGGAAAUUUCAAACACCUCCUACACAGUUAGCAUUAAAUUCAUCAGUAACAUCAGCAUGCCGAGCAACCCUGACCUCAGGAACGACACCUACACCCAAGUGGAGAACAUCAUCAAUAACGCAGUAAACACACUUCUAAACAAUUUUGGUUCAGAUCCAUUAAAACCCACUACCUCCAACUUCACGAGUUCAGAGAAUGAAGUUACUGGUUACAUGGAAUACAAUCUCAAAGUCUCCCUCAAUCAGACUGGGAAUGCUACAGUGCAGACUUCUCCAGAACCUCCAUCCACAAUCAACGGAUCAGCUGUGGUUCAAACCAUGCUGGUGUUCAACUCGUCCUCUCCUGUUUGCACUCAGAGUGUCAUUCCCAAGUUUAUCGCAUGGCUGAUUGAGUCUGAACUCAAUAAACAAAGUCAGAGUGUCGUUCUCCAUGUUCUCGAAGAUCUGCUGAACUCUACACUCAAAAACCUCACUGAGCCUGUAAAAGUGUUGAAUUACACCAUUGAGGAAAUUUCAAACGGCUCCUACGCAGUUAACAUUACAUUCAGCAUCAGUAACAUCAGCAUGCCGAGCAACCCUGACCUCAGGAACGAUACCUACAUCCAUGUGGAGAACAUCAUCAAUAACGCUGUAAACACACUUCUAAACAAUUUUGGUUCAGAUCCAUUAAAACCCACUACCUCCAACUUCACGAGUUCAGAGAAUGAAGUUACUGGAUACAUGGAAUACAAUCUCAAAGUCUCCCUCAAUCAGACUGGGAAUGGUAGGUUUCACCACAACUUGAUAAUCUUGCUCAAUAAAAGUGUGUGUAAUUUCUGUUUUUAAUGAUUCUGAAAUUGUUUAUCUUCCUGUAAAUUACCCUGCCACAAAAAAUUAUUCUGUUGUAGAACACGGUCCAAAAAUUGUAGAGGAUUCUGUUGUUGAAUCCUCUACAACGAUUACUCCAACUACAGCUACUGUGCCGACUUCUCCAGAACCUCCAUCCACAAUGAACGGAACUGUAUACAUUUUCAUAACAUUGAAAUUCAAUAACUUGAUCACUCUACCUACUGAGGCUGUGGUUCUCAGAGCUGCUAAUGAAAAGCUCGAUCCAAAGAUCAGAAGACAGCGUGAUACUACAACAAAACUGAGUACACCUAUCCGUAUACAGAACAUCAAUUAUACUCGAACGGGCAACAACUCAUUCAGUUUGGACAUGGCAUUCAUGAUCAGCGAUGUUAAUAUGUCUGUUCGAUGUGAUUUCAACUAUAGCUUAAUACAAGAACAAAUAAACAACCUGAUGAAUACAAUCCUGACUAAUCCACAGAACCAAACAUUUAUCUUCCCAUGGGCAAACUUCACGUGUAAUGUUUCCGGAUUAGUGAUUGUGGCUGAACAAGUAUAUGUCUAUAACGAGACGGAUAUAAAGACACCAAGUGGCUUUGUUCAUGAAAUACUCAAAGCAAGUGGUCUGUUGUACUAUACAAUUCCUGCCAUUACAAGCAUUCAGCCCACCACAAAACCUGGAAACAGCACCGAUACAGGGGCUGCAUGGAUUUUGGGCUUCGUUAUCCCAUGUGGUAUAGUCCUCAUUCUUCUCCCAUGUUGGAUUCUACUCUGUUGUAUUCUUUGUGGAUGCUGUGCAGGAAUUAGAAGACGUUGGCUCAGGCGACGAUCAUACAACGUUCAGUAUCAAACUCACAGCAGUCUCUUCUAAAGCACAACAUACCAUACAUUCUCAAUUGGAGUUAUUAAUUUAAAGUGUUGUAAUCUGUCUUGAUGUACAAAAGCAGAUGCUUUUAGACAUACUAUUCCAUACUACACAGAGGUAAUUUAGUUAAGAUUAAAUCUGUAAAUAUAUGCAAUCACAAAAUAUUAUUCAUUAAUAAAUUAAUUUAUUCUUCUAAUUUAUUUUCAAACAAUAUAUGUUAAUUUAUUACUUUAUUACUUUAAAAAUAGUACUAUACAUUUCAUUUCAAAUAGAGGGAUAUGUUAUUUCUAAAUAACUAUUUAUUUACAUUUAUUUGCACUUUAUCAGUUUGUCAACAAUCAUUGUGCCAUGUUCUAUUGUGUGCUAUUAUUAUGCUGUGUAAUAUCAAUUCCUUUGAAGUACUAUUCUACUUAUGCCAUUAAAAUUAUUCCCCUGAAUGAAUUAUUCAUUUUCUUCAUAACUGAAAACACAAACUGUUUUACUGUUCUGUGCAAGAACAAUCCUCAAUCCUAUAGGUUCCUAUUGAAUCUGCUAGACAGUGGAAUUAAGAGUGUACAGUUGCAAUCAAAAUCAUUCAACCCCUACUGCAAAUUAGAUUUAUUGUAAAAAUGUACAGACUUUCAGCUGCGAUGAACAAAUCAAACAAAAGCAAUUGAAAUAGUUCAACCCGACGAAUGCUUCAAGGGGUUUCCCCAAAUUGAAAAUGCAUCUUAUAAUAACUUCUCCAGUUUCAAAAUUAUUCACCCCCCUGAAUAGAAUCCCUCACAACAGCACAAAUAUGUAAAACAGGUGUUGUCUCAAUCACUGAUGCUAAACUAAUCAAGGGCUUCAUUAGCUGCACCAGGUGUGGUUGAGCUGGAACACAUGAAAUGCCUGAACUAGGGGCAGAAAAUUCAUGAAAUACCUGGACGGGGCAGAAAAAGGAAGCUAUAAACGGUUGCAACCAGAUUUCUGAGAAGGCAGGUUGUGAAAAACCCUCGAGUGACUGUGAAAGACCUGCAGCAAGACUUGGUGGCAACAGGCACUGAGGUUUCAAUAAGCAUAGUAAGGCGCGUAUUAAACACAUAAGGUUUCCAUGCCAGAACUCCAAGACGUUCACCACUACUGACUCAAAAUCAUAUAAAUAAGGCACAGAAGUUUUGGGAUUCUGUUCUGUGGAGCAACGAAACAAAACUGGAACAUUUCGGCAGGAUGGAUCAGCGGUAUGUCUGGAGGAAGAAUGAAGAAAGAACGCUGUCCACAGUCAAGCAUGGCGGUGGCUUGGUGAUGCUCUGGGGCUGUUUUGCAUCCACUGGCACUGGAAACCUGCAGCGUGUGGAAGGCGAGAUGGAUUCAUUGAAGUAUCAGGAAAUCCUAUGAGAAAACAUCAUGCCGUCUGUGAGGAACCUGAAGCUUGGGUAUCAUUGGACCUUCCAACAGGACAAUGAUCCCAAGCAUAUCUCAAAUUCCACCAAGGCUUGGUUGCAGAGGAAGUCCUGGAAAAUUCUACAGGGCCAUCACAGUCACCUGACUUGAACCCCAUAGAAAACCUCUGGUGGAAUUUGAAGAAGGCGUUUACUGCAUGCAAACCCAAGAAUAUUACUGAACUGGAGGCCACUGCUCAUGAGGAAUGUGAUAAGAUUCUUCAGGAACACUGCCAGAAACUGGUGUCUGGCUAUGCAUCUUGUUUGCAGCAGGUCAACAGCAAAAGGAGCUCUACUAAGUACUAAAGAUGCUUGUCAUGAAGGGGUUGAAUAAUUUUGAAAAGUUAUUAUAAAUUGCAUUUUCAGUUGAAUUUGGGGAAACCACUUGAAGCAUUAAUUAUGUCGAACUAUUUCAGUUACUUCUGUUUUGAUUUGUUCAUUGCAAACAGC
Ictalurus punctatus (channel catfish) is the source of this 5887-nucleotide long non-coding RNA. Lineage: Eukaryota; Metazoa; Chordata; Actinopteri; Siluriformes; Ictaluridae. The record is from Ensembl.